This 404-nucleotide ribosomal RNA is filed under the name Brucella melitensis. RNAcentral describes it as "partial 16S ribosomal RNA". It matches the Rfam family "Bacterial small subunit ribosomal RNA", at positions 355 to 776 of the family's 1533-position model. Lineage: Bacteria; Pseudomonadati; Pseudomonadota; Alphaproteobacteria; Hyphomicrobiales; Brucellaceae. The record is from RNAcentral. RNAcentral also lists the same sequence under 1 other name.
UGGGGAAUAUUGGACAAUGGGCGCAAGCCUGAUCCAGCCAUGCCGCGUGAGUGAUGAAGGCCCUAGGGUUGUAUAGCUCUUUCACCGGUGAAGAUAAUGACGGUAACCGGAGAAGAAGCCCCGGCUAACUUCGUGCCAGCAGCCGCGGUAAUACGAAGGGGGCUAGCGUUGUUCGGAUUUACUGGGCGUAAAGCGCACGUAGGCGGACUUUUAAGUCAGGGGUGAAAUCCCGGGGCUCAACCCCGGAACUGCCUUUGAUACUGGAAGUCUUGAGUAUGGUAGAGGUGAGUGGAAUUCCGAGUGUAGAGGUGAAAUUCGUAGAUAUUCGGAGGAACACCAGUGGCGAAGGCGGCUCACUGGACCAUUACUGACGCUGAGGUGCGAAAGCGUGGGGAGCAAACAGG